CCUACGGGAGGCAGCAGUAGGGAAUUUUUCACAAUGGGCGAAAGCCUGAUGGAGCAACGCCGCGUGCAGGAUGAAGGCCUUCGGGUUGUAAACUGCUUUUAUAAGCGAGAAAUAUGAUGGUAACUUAUGAAUAAGGAUCGGCUAACUACGUGCCAGCAGCCGCGGUCAUACGUAGGAUCCGAGCAUUAUCCGGAGUGACUGGGUGUAAAGAGUUGCGUAGGUGGCAUAAUAAGUAGCUAGUGAAAACUGGUGGCUCAACCAUUCAGACUAUUAGCUAAACUGUUAAGCUCGAGACCGUUAGGGGUAACUGGAAUUUCUAGUGUAGGAGUGAAAUCCGUAGAUAUUAGAAGGAACACCAAUAGCGUAGGCAGGUUGCUGGGACGGUUCUGACACUAAGGCACGAAAGCGUAGGGAGCAAACGGGAUUAGAUACCCCUGUAGUC
This 442-nucleotide ribosomal RNA is filed under the name uncultured bacterium. RNAcentral's name for it is "partial 16S ribosomal RNA". It matches the Rfam family "Bacterial small subunit ribosomal RNA", at positions 338 to 795 of the family's 1533-position model. The record is from RNAcentral.